ACACUCCAGUCUGGGGGACAGAGUGAGAUUCCGUCUCAAAAAAAAAAAAAAAAAAAAAAAUCAGUUCUGAAAUGCUACCUCUAAGCAUUUUACCUGGGCGAAACAGCAAGCCUCUGUCUCAAAAAAAAAAAAAAAAAGAAAGAAAUAGAAUUUGAGCCACAUAUGUAAUUUAAAGUUCUCUAGUAUCACUUUUAAAAAAAGAUAAAUUGGCAGAAUUGGUUUUAAUAUUUUAUGUAGCCAACUAUAUCAAAAAAC
This 255-nucleotide long non-coding RNA is filed under the name Pan troglodytes (chimpanzee). RNAcentral's name for it is "long non-coding RNA NONPTRT005715". The record is from RNAcentral. Lineage: Eukaryota; Metazoa; Chordata; Mammalia; Primates; Hominidae.